This 306-nucleotide ribosomal RNA is filed under the name uncultured Rhodoferax sp. RNAcentral's name for it is "bacterial SSU rRNA". It matches the Rfam family "Bacterial small subunit ribosomal RNA", at positions 30 to 334 of the family's 1533-position model. Lineage: Bacteria; Pseudomonadati; Pseudomonadota; Betaproteobacteria; Burkholderiales; Comamonadaceae. The record is from RNAcentral.
AUUGAACGCUGGCGGCAUGCCUUACACAUGCAAGUCGAACGGCAGCACGGGAGCAAUCCUGGUGGCGAGUGGCGAACGGGUGAGUAAUAUAUCGGAACGUGCCCAGUCGUGGGGGAUAACGCAGCGAAAGCUGUGCUAAUACCGCAUACGAUCUCUGGAUGAAAGCGGGGGACUCGCAAGAGCCUCGCGCGAUUGGAGCGGCCGAUAUCAGAUUAGCUAGUUGGUGGGGUAAAGGCCCACCAAGGCGACGAUCUGUAGCUGGUCUGAGAGGAUGAUCAGUCACACUGGAACUGAGACACGGUCCAG